CCCAGGGACGGUGAGAGGCGGGGGAGGUGCAGAGCAAGGAUGGUCACGAGUCUAGGCAAAGUGUAUAAAUAAAUUAGCUCGACUGGCCGCCCCUACUGCUUGUCCACAAAGAGCAAAUCCUGCUCCUCCAGUCCUGUGAGGCUUCUCUCUUGGACCCUCUGAUACUCAAGAGAGGACUUCCUAACACUUGGCCCCAGCAUCGUCCCAUACACCAAAGGGUUGCAGGUUCGAGUGAGUUCGACACAUUGCCUCAGCACAACCGGGAGAAGGGGAGAAGCGUCCUGGGCAGGGGGCAAGGCAGAGAGGAUGGUGACAGCAGAGAGGAUGGUGACAGCAGAGAGGAUGGUGACAGCCCAGGGAAUGCUGACCUCCAGCUGCAGCUGCCAUGACCAGCGUCUUCCUCCAGACACAGAAGAAGCGCCAUCACAGCCCCAGCUUUGGCCAUAGAGAGCUUUCUGUCGACUCCUGUGCCCCUGUGUCAUACCCCCAUCAAUGUGGGGUUUUGUGUAAACUCAGUUUUAUGAGGACUUUGGCACAAGUUCCAUCUGGCGUCUCUGAGACCGAGCUGGCACCGACAGUGGGUGUGUCGGCAAGAACCCGCGCUGCGCCAGCCUGGGCACGUCUGCUUGUAAAGAGCAGAGCAAUGAAGAACGGA
Long non-coding RNA from Eptesicus fuscus (big brown bat), 655 nucleotides. RefSeq lists it as uncharacterized. The transcript is spliced from 4 exons. The record is from RefSeq and is a predicted model, not a curated record. NCBI's taxonomy places the organism in Eukaryota, Metazoa, Chordata, Mammalia, Chiroptera, Vespertilionidae.